Molecule: long non-coding RNA, 734 nt
Organism: Myotis lucifugus (little brown bat)
Lineage: Eukaryota; Metazoa; Chordata; Mammalia; Chiroptera; Vespertilionidae
Exons: 5
Source: RefSeq, a predicted model, not a curated record
GGAAGAAAGCCAAGAAAUAGCUCAAAGAAAACCAACCCAGGGCAGAGGGAGGGUGAGCCAGGCACAUCUGCUCACCUCUGUGGCCACAUAGUUUCUAUGGCAUGAUGCCAACGUAACUACACUGCAUCAGGAAGCGGUUGCUCAGGCUUGGCUCUGCUCUUGGCAUUCCUGUGGCAUGAAGUUGAGGCUACCAACCUUGACCCCGUGUCUGAGCAGCCUGGUACUGUCUCUUAUUGGAGGUGCAGCUCAGCAUGGAGCUGACUCUCCAAGAAAGUCAGUGCUGGGGAAAAAUGCAUCUCUAUAAGGAAGGUCCUUUUCUUUGGGCCUCUGGCGUAAAGGAAAACAGAGACCAUGAAAAGGGACACGCUGGUGGAUGCUGUCCUUCUGGAUGCUCUCAUCUCCCCAUUGGCUGCACCGAAAUUGGACACUGCACAUGCUUCUCAACAAUUCCUUCAACUCUUCCUCACCUGUGUCACAGCGGCAGAGACGUAAAACCACAUUUAUGAGAAACUCAUCUUGGCAAGACCACCAGAGACUUCCACAUUUCCAAAUCCAACAGCCGAUUUUCAGCUCUCUUAUUUGACAAGACAGGAUGGCUGUAGUCCUUGAACUCAGACUCAUAUGACCAACUUCCUCUUAGACAUCCAGUUUAAAGACAUCCUGGUCUCUAUCAAACAACCAGGAAAAGGAGCAAUCCAGCAUGAUGAAACUUUUAAGAAAACAGCUGCUCUACU